GACAGAGGGUGCAAACGUUGCUCGGAAUUAUUGGGCGUAAAGGGCGCGUAGGCGGCUUGAUGUGUCAAAGGUGAAAUCCCUCGGCUCAACUGAGGAACUGCCUUUGAAACUGUCUGGCUUGAGGCCGGGAGAGGGUAGCGGAAUUCCCAGUGUAGCGGUGAAAUGCGUAGAUACUGGGAGGAACACCGGUGGCGAAGGCGGCUACCUGGACCGGUUCUGACGCUGAUGCGCGAAAGCGUGGGUAGCAAACAGG
Molecule: ribosomal RNA, 253 nt
Filed under: uncultured bacterium
Lineage: Bacteria
Description: partial 16S ribosomal RNA
Rfam family: Bacterial small subunit ribosomal RNA
Source: RNAcentral